RNAcentral lists this long non-coding RNA (2292 nucleotides) under Podarcis lilfordi (Lilford's wall lizard). The record is from RNAcentral. Lineage: Eukaryota; Metazoa; Chordata; Lepidosauria; Squamata; Lacertidae.
GUUCACAUAUGCACAUCCCUAUGCAUGCACAGUAGACCCAAGAUGCACCUGUGUCUCACCAAGAGAUAUAACUUGAAGGAGUCAAGGAAGGGGCUGAAACCUGAAAGAUGGGAACUUCUGAACUAGGCUGUGGAACACUCCCCCCCCCCCAUGAGGACAACAUUUUCCCUGGGGAAAAGUGGUCAAGUGAUGGUAGGUGGGGGAAAAGCGGAUAAGGCCAAAGCACAUUAUCACAAAAAGGGCCACAGCUCAGUAGAAGGGCACAUCCUUUGCAUAAAGAUGGCCCCAGGUUGAAAUCCAUGGCAUCUCCAGCUAGGACUGAGCGAGACAUCUGUCUGAAAGCCUGGAGGGCUGCUACCUUAGUGUUGACAUAGAUGGACCAUAAUAGGGCAGCUUCUUUAUGUGCCUAUGUACAUACAUACCACAUUCACACACACACACCCAUUCACUUACACAGAUUCAGCUUGCUUUUCUUCCACCUUAACCUAUACCUGUGCCCAGUAACAUUUUAAAAAUUGCUCACUGGAGACAGAGAAACCAAAUCAACAUGCGUAUGAAGCAAGGGCAGAAGUUACAAACUCAGGACCGUCCCUGCUUUAAACAGGAGCUCUAUUACCUAUGGAUGUAUAAUAAUGGGAAAUGUGCUAUCAUUCUGCCGUGCAGUGUGGCAUUCUUGGCUAUACCUAACCAUUUCUAGCAGCUCCCACAUGGCAGCCCUCACAUAAGAAAGCGCCACAGGAGAGGGAGCCGUUGUGAGGGGCUGCAGCGAUCCUUUCUCGAAUCCCAGAAAGCUGUGAAGAAAUCCUGUGGGGUGUUUCCCCAACGCAGUCACUCACGACCAUGCAUGUAAUGAAAAUGCCUGGCUAGCUCAAUAGGCCAAGCUCUUUUCUGCACUCAAGAGCUCUCGGGCAAAUCGGGAGAAGGGAAGACGACGAAGAAGAAAAACUCUCUUCUGGUGCGUGAUUUUCCCCAAAGCUCUGGGGGGAGGAAAAGAAAAAAGAAAAACCACAACGGUGAAGAAUGUGCAGCUUUUCAGUGAAUUCCCCACCGGGGCCCAAGGCCUCCUUCUCACACAUGAUUAGUGUGUUUACCCUUGUAACACGGCAAAGGCGCACAAUGGGACCUCUGAGGAGACAUUUCCCGCCAUUUUCCCCUCUUCAUUGUAGCCUUUCACUUUCCUCUUGCAAACCCCCACCACCAUUUUUUUCUUCCUCCUUCCCCCGCUGCUUCCCCCCUUUUUUUUCCAGGGAGAUAAAAGCCUGAAUUUGUGAAUCACUCUAUUACAAAGGAGGGAAUGACAAAAGCGAAGAGAACUGGAGUCUUUAAUGCCGCUCCACCAGUGAAAAGGGCUCGAGGCCUAUGGGAUGAAGAAUAAGCCUUUGGCGGUGCUGAUGAUUCCUUCUCUUCCCCCUCUAUUGUAGAUGUACAAGGUCUGCAGAAGAGGCGGAUGGAGGGGGGGACGGACAGCAGUGCCAUGAGGGGCUUAUCUGAAAUAAAACAGCAGCUGGGGGAAUUCCUGAGGACCGCCGCGCCGAACUGGCAGGCAGAGCGAAUGGCAAAAGAUCGCUCUCAGGCGUCCCUGAGGGCCCCGGCCCUUGAACUCCACGAACUUUGGUUGUGAAGUAAUCCUUCCCAGCCAAGCGCUCAACAAGAAAAUUAAGACUACGCCUCCCGUACAAUAAAGGACAGGACGGCAGGUGUUUCGAGGGCAUAGGUUAAUAUACCCUCCGACAUGGGCUGGAGGAAGAGUGGGGGUACAGCGGGGUAUGUUUGUUUUUAAGGUGGUUGAGUAAACAAAGUAAGCCUUUACGCAAUGCCUUUUAAAUCAGGUCCCCGUCCCCCAAAAUGCUUGAGUUCAUUGGCCCCCUUGAGGAGAUUAUAAAGUUGUUGUUGAUCCCGACCAAGAGUCUUAGGAACAUAAAUGAAUUAAAAUCAAGAAAUACUGGCAUGUAAUCAAUAUUGAGCACUGUGACCAGGAAUCAUAAAAUGUUAAAAAGGAAUACUGUUGCAUUGUGGAAUCAUCUUAUUAAACACAGAGGUUCCCUGGUGGCAAGAGAUGUGUACUCCGCACAUGCCCCUUGUUUCUGAGGCUCAGAGUUCCCAAUUCAAUUUUUCACAUUAUAACUCAUUAACAUCUUUCCCCUCCUUAGGACUUUUUUCACCCCAAGGUCUUUAUUCACCCCCUGCACAGUCCCAAUGACCCCAGGGGGUCAAUACUGACAACUUGGGGAAAACCCUGAUUUAAUUCAACCAAAUAUAUAAUCUAAUUGUACAAAAGGUUCUUAUUGUGGC